This 253-nucleotide ribosomal RNA is filed under the name uncultured bacterium. RNAcentral describes it as "partial 16S ribosomal RNA". It matches the Rfam family "Bacterial small subunit ribosomal RNA", at positions 524 to 776 of the family's 1533-position model. The record is from RNAcentral.
UACAGAGGCCUCGAGCGUUAGGCGGAAUCACUGGGCUUAAAGCGUGUGUAGGCGGACUUCUAAGUACCUUGUGAAAUCCCACGGCUCACCCGUGGAACUGCUCGGUAUACUGGUUGUCUUGAGCCUUCUAGGGGCGAGUGGAACAAAUGGUGGAGCGGUGAAAUGCGUAGAUAUCAUUUGGAACGCCAAUGGUGAAAACAACUCGCUGGGGAAGUGCUGACGCUGAGACACGAAAGCCAGGGGAGCAAACGGG